This 71-nucleotide transfer RNA is filed under the name Marmota monax (woodchuck). RNAcentral's name for it is "tRNA.Arg". Lineage: Eukaryota; Metazoa; Chordata; Mammalia; Rodentia; Sciuridae. The record is from RNAcentral.
GGGGUUGUGGCUCAGUGGCAGAGCCCUAUCCUCCUGUGUGUGAGGCACUGGGUUCAAUCCUCAGCACCACA